CCUAGGUCUCCGCUCGCCAGGCGCGCAGAUCGAUCCCUGAGGGGCCGCUCACGCCUCCGCCCUGCCCAGGCAGCACUAGCUGCACCCCGAGCGGCAGGCCUCACCCAGUCCCUCCCCGGUCCCGCCCCGAGAGCAAAGGGCGCUGCCCAAAGCCGGACAGGUCUAGCGGCUGGCCUGUGUGAAGUCGCGCGGCUCCCUCCCACGCAGUGUUGUGAGUGAACCCCGGAAAGUUGAUCGCCAUGUCGACUGCAGAGGCGGGGGGUGUUUUCCAUAAAGCCCGGAACAGGACCCUGGACGCGUUUCCCGCAGAAAAGGAAGGGGAAUGGAAAGGCCCAUUCUACUUCAUCCUGGGCACAGACCCACAGUUUGGGUUGAUGAAGGCCUGGUCCACUGGGGACUGUGACAAUGGUGGUGACGAAUGGGGACAGGAGAUCCGUCUAACUGAGCAAGCUGUCCAGGCCAUCAACAAGCUGAACCCCAAACCCAAAUUCUUUGUUCUGUGCGGCGACCUCAUCCACGCCAUGCCCGGGAAGCCGUGGCGGAAGGAGCAGACAGAGGACCUGCAGCGAGUGCUCAAGACCGUGGACAGGGCCAUCCCACUGGUCCUUGUCAGCGGCAACCACGACAUUGGCAAUGUCCCCACAUCCGAGACCAUUGAGGAGUUCUGCCAGACUUGGGGAGAUGACUACUUUAGCUUCUGGGUCGGAGGUGUGCUGUUCCUGGUCCUCAACUCCCAGUUCUACGAGAACCCCUCCAAAUGUCCUGGCCUGAAGCAGGCACAGGACCAGUGGCUGGAUGAGCAGCUGAACAUCGCGAGGCAGCGGAACUGCCAGCACGCCAUCGUCUUCCAGCACAUCCCACUGUUCCUGAAAAGCAUCGAUGAGGAUGACGACGACUACUUCAACCUCAGCAAGCCCGCUCGGAAGAGGUUGGCAGACAAGUUCAUCCACGCAGGUGUCAAAGCCGUGUUCUCAGGCCACUACCACAGGAAUGCUGGGGGCACCUACCAGAACCUCGACAUGGUGGUGUCAUCCGCCAUCGGAUGCCAGCUGGGCCUAGACCCCCACGGGCUCCGAGUUGUGGUGGUCACUGCUGACAAAAUUGUUCACCGAUACUACAGUCUGGAUGAGCUGAGUGAGAAAGGAAUAGAAGACGAUCUCAUGGAUUUGAUAAAGAAAAAAUGACGGUCUUUCCUGUUCCGUUCACUUUUUACUUGCACUCUUUUUUUAUUUUCUGCCAGAAACAGCAGCUGCACACAACCCCUUGCUGAAAUACAAAAAUAGCCCAGGCAGGGUCCCGCAAUAUUAUGUUGAGCUGGGAAAAAGAGAAGAUUUAGGAGUAAAUUGCCAAGGCAAGUUCAAUUAAAAGCUUUCUGUAAUAGACACCAGGGAUUUUUUAUUCAGAUAACCUCAACAGUUUUGAUUGCACAUGUAACAUAGUAUUCAACAGGUAAUACUGAUUUUUAUAACUUCAUAGAAUACUCUCAAGCUAUGGGAGAGCUCUUAUGUAUUUUUUAAUGAGUGUGUGUGUGUGUGUGUGUGUGUGUAUAUAUACACACACAGUAAAAGUGGAAAAUUCUUUUCUUAGAAUAAUGAUUUCAGCGUUUAUCUAGAAAAGAUUUUGCUGACUAUAUUUUCUUUUUCCAUCAAUGGAUUCUUAAACAUCAGUGCAUGUUUAAGAAUUUUUCCUUUAUGUUUUAUCUAUGUAAAUGAAGUUGACUAAAUGUGAAUAAUCAUGUUACCCUUCAUUAUUAUGACUGUUACAUUUAAGAAGUAGAUGUCUUCAUUAGAGGGGUUUGCAGCACACUUAAUGAAUGACCUCUGUGCCUGUCUAGAAACUGGUUUCUUGUUAUCAUUUUGACAUCCGCUAAAACAUCACUGCUGAAAGUGGCCUUCCUGCCUGAUGUGUCCCCACCCAAAUCUUAUCUUGAAUUGCAAUCCCCAAAAUCCCCACGUCAAGGGACAGACCUGGUGGGAGGUAGUUGGAUCAUGGAGGCGGUUUCUCCCAUGCUAUUCUUGUGAUAGUGAGUUCUCACAAAAUCUGACGGUUUCGUGUUGGACAGUUCCUCCUUCACACUCUGUCUCCUGUUGCCAUGUAAGACAUGCCUGCUUCUGCUUCCACCAUGAUUGUAAGUUUCCUGAGGUCUCCCCAGCCAUGUGGAACUGUGAGUCAAUUAAAUAUCUGUCUCUCUCUCUCUCUCUCUCUCUAAUAAAUUACCCAGUCUCAGGCAGUUAUUUAUAGCAGUGUGAAAGGGGACUAAUACACUGCUCCACCCUGUCUAAGGUUACACUCCUGGUCCUAGCAUUGCAUCCUCAUUCUUUUGCUUGUUUUCUUCAGAGAAAUGUCCUUGCUUAAUUAUCUUUAAGUGUAACCACACACAAACACACACACACACACACACACACACACCAGAAUGCAAGCUCCAGACAGCAGGAACUAUGUGUCUUACAUUUGCCACUUUAUCCCCAGCAUCUGGAACUGUGCCUAAUGGCAGAGAGUUGCUGCUCAAAGAAUACUCAGCAAUGGAUGGUGAGUAAAGCUGUAUAGUUGGCCAGCCGCGGUGGCUCAUGCCUGUAAUCCCAGCACUAUGGGAGGCUGAGGCAGGUGUAUCAUGAGGUUGGGAGUUCAAGACCAGCCUGGCCAAGAUGCUGAAACCCCAUCUCUACCAAAAAUACAAAAAUUAGCUGGGCAUGGUGGCAGGCGCCUGUGAUCGCAGCCGCUUGGGAGGCUGAGGCAGGGAAUUGCUUGAACCCGGGAGGUGGAGGUUGUGGGGAGCCGAGGUCACACCGUUGCACUCCAGGCUGGGCAACAGAGUGAGACUCCAUCUCAAAAAAAAAAUGCUAUAUAGCUAUGGUGAACAUCAGUAAUCUAUACCGAUUGUCACUAUGAACUCCUAACUGGUAGGGGAGGAAGAAAGGGAAGGAGGUGAUAUUCCUAAGCCUGGUAAUAGUCCUUGUGGGAUUGUCCUCAAAGUGAAGUAUUGUCAGAAGCUCCAUCACUAACUAGCAGCAUCAUUGCCGUCUUCAGUUCUGUGCUCUCAAUGAAGAAAUUGGAGGUGAUAACAAAAAAUGUCCUCCACUUAUUAGUAGUAAUUAUUACUUAGUAGUAAUUCUAAGCCUGGUUCACUCAACAAAUACUGUGCAGUAACCAAAGCUAGUGAGCCAGACAAGAGAGUGACUCUAGACUGAAGGUUCUAUGUGAAUAUAAAAGAGAUGGCUUGAAAUACAAGCAUGAAACUCAGGAAACAAUGAAAACUGCAUUGUGGGAGUGCAUGGGACAUGGGAAUGAAUAAGAUUCCUAGGAAAAUCCAGCAGCACUGCGAGAUGCCUAAGGAGAGAACCUUGAAACAGAUGUUUAGGCAAAAGACAAGAAAGAUGGAAGUCACAGAGGAGUAAAGGGGAAUCUGAAAACUCCAGGCUGUGCACCCUGAACAAAAAUGGAAUUGGCUUCAUCUGGAGUUCAGUGGUUUAAGCCCCCACCGACCAAACUUCCUGCAGAUAACUUUAUAGACAAAAAUACCUACCUGGCAAUAUGGAGAGUGAACACGUGCAAGGAACUCAAAACCUUGGUGAGUCUCCUGUCCCCUGCACGUUGUUCUGAGGGCAAACCACAAUUGCAAAGCAGCACACCUGAGGUCAAUAAAGUUUUUCUCAAAAUUCACUUUUUUUUUGACAUGGGAUCUCCCUGUGUUGCUCAGGCUGGAGUGCAAUGGUGCAAUCUCAGCAUGUGGCAAUCUCCACCUCCCAGGUCUAAGCAAUCCUCCUGCCUCAACCUCCCAAGUAUCUGGAAGAAAAGGCAGGCACCACCACAUGCAGCUAAUUUUUUGUAUUUUUGGUAGAUGGAGUUUCACCAUGUUGCUCAGGCUGGCCUCAAACUACUGGGCUCAUGUGACUCACCUUCCUUGACCUCCCAAAGUGCUGGGGUUACAGGUGUGAACCACCAGGUCUGGCCCAAAAUUUACUAUGUAUUAGAACAGAGAUACCAGAGGAAGAAGCCCAGGUCACUGGGGAGUGAGGAGUUCCAGCAGGGAGACAGCUGGGGAGAAGAAUCCUCUAAUUUGUAUGUGAGCUCCACAUGAAUCUCUUGCUUACCCACAAAGCAUGCAUGAGCAUGACAGAAUUGGCAGCACAAGCUUAAAGAAUUAAACCAAGAUUUGACUCACUGCCCAGAGGAAGCAACAGAGAGCUUACCAUUGGAGUCUGAUCAAGCUAAUUACCUGCAAAAGCCUCAACAUUCUUCAGAAGAAUAUAACUGAAUCCCAGCUCUCCACAGUGUAUUAUUUACCUAGCCCAGGAUACAACCCAAAAUUGCUUAACAUACAACAAAAGCAACAACAACAAUAAAAAGAAAGUACCUCACUCUCCAAGGAAAAGACAGUCCACCUUAAGAGGCCCCAGGUGUUAGAAUUAUCACUCCAGGGGAAAGAGCAGCUACUAUAACAAAGCUUUAUAAAGUAAAGGAAAAUAUACCUAAUAUGAACAAAAAGAAAGGAUAUCUCCUAGAACAUAGAAAAAAUGAAAAUUUCAGAACUGAAAAAUAUAAUAUCUAAAAUUUUGAACUUACUGGACAGGCUUAAUAGCAGAGUGGAGAAGAGGGAGGAAAGUCAGGGAACAGGAAGACAGAUCAAUAGAAAGUUUUCACCCUAAAACCCAAAGACAAAAAGGAUUUUAUUAAGCAAACUUCACGACCCUGUAUCAAAAGUCUAAAGUACAGUGAUGAGUACCAGAAAGGAAACAGCAUGAGCCACAAAAAAAUAUUUGGAGAAAUGAUAGCCAACAACUCGUAUUUGGUGAAAUAAAACAAAUGGAAAUUUCAUAUGCUCAACAAACACAAAAUAUGAGUCACAAGGCAAAAUAUUACUAGAUUGGACUUUAUAAAGAAUUUGCUCUUCAGUGAUAUUAGAGAGUGGGAGGCAAGCCUGGAAGAAUAAAUUCCAGCACAUUUAUCAGAUAAAGGGCUUGUAUCCAAAAUAUGUAAAGAACUGCAGCCUGGGCAACAUAGCCAUAUCUAGAACCCCUACCUCAAGUGAUCCGCCCACCUUGGCUUCCCAAAGUGCUGGGAUUACAGGCAUGAGCCACCGCACCCAGCCAAGCCCUUCUUUCUAGAGACCAGAAUGGAGGGAAUGGAAAGGGUGAUGAGGCUAGGGCAGUGGGUGGAGACCUGGGAUAAUGUAAUUGAUCAAUUAUUUCCUAGACACAUGUUCAUUUCCUGCUGAUUCCUCCCUGAGAGGCACUCUGUGCUGUGUUUCAUGGUGAAGCAGGUGAGGCUUUCUGGAUUUAUGCACAGCUCACCUUGGUCUUGUCAGGAAAGGGCCAGCAUCUGUAUAGAACGGGUGACAUCUGCCUAUCAUGGAAUCCCUGCUUCUGAGCAGACUGUCUGGGUGUGUUCUAGGCAGUGAAGGAGAGCAGAUUCAGGAUGUAGCCUAUUACUGUGAUGUGUGAAAGUCUCUCCUUGGUCUUCCAAGCUGUCCUUUCAGGCUUCCACAAAAACAGCUAAUAAUUUCAUCUCAUAAUAUUUUUGAAAUACUCUUUGGAUUUGCUCUCUUAAAAAGCCACCAAGGAGGCUGGGUACAGUGGCUCAUGCCUGUAAUCUCAGCACUUUGGGAGGCUGAGGUGGGUGGAUCACCUGAGGUCAGGAGUUCGAGACCAGCAUGGCCAACAUGGUGAAACCCCAUCUCUACCAAAAUAAAAAAAUUAGCCAGGCAUGGUGGCACACGCCUGUAGUCCCAGCUACUCCAGAAGUGGAGGCAGGAGAAUCGCUUGAACCUAGGAGGUAUAGGUUGCAGUGAGCUGAGAUCGCAACACAGCACUCCAGCCUGGAGGACAGAGUGAGUGAGACUCCAUCUCAAAAAUAAAUAAAUAAAUAAUAAGUAAUAAAAAGCUGCCAAGGCAGGUUUUUGGCUCAGUGGUGCAGUAGUUCAUGCCUGUAAUCGUAGCACUGUUGGUAUUCUGAGACGGGAGGAUUGCUUGAGUCCAGGAGUGCAAGACAAGCCUAGGCAACACAGUGAGAUCACCCCUCCCAUCUCUACAAAUAUAAAACAUUAGCUGGGCAUGGUGGCACACAUCUGUAGUCCUAGGUACUUGGGAGGCUGAUGUAGGAGGAUCACUUGAGCCCAGGAGGUUAGGGCUGCAGUGAGCUGUGUUCAUGCCAUUUCACACCAGCCUGGGUAACAGACCAAGACCCUGUCUCUGAAAAAAAAGAAAAGAAAAAAGGCUACCAAACUGCAAUAUCACACCCUGAAACCACCUAUCUUGGUGUGAAAAGCUAUUAAAAUGACAUGGUAUUGUAUUUACCGUAUAGGUCCCUGUUUUCCUGUUCUCUUAUGUCGUGGGAUGAGAUCCAACAUGAUACCCUGAGGGCAGGAACACCGUCUUCAUGGCUGCUGGGCCUUCAUUGCCUGGCCUGGGACUUGGCCCUCCUUAUAAAUGUGUGUUGCUUCAUUGUGGCUUCCUCUGUGCUGUGUUUCAUUGUGAAGCAGGUGAGGCUUUCUGGAUUUAAGGCUUUUCUGCUCAGCAGCCCUCCCAACACCAUCAACCUUCCCUCCAAUUAUUUGUCCAUUCCAAAGACAUUUGCCGAGGAAGUACUGUACGCACCCUGUGCCUGGCCCUGGUGAACAGAGAGCAGCCUUAGUCUCCAGCAAGACGACUUAAACACUGCUGUUUCCUGUGUCCCGGGCAAACUUCUCUGCUCCCUGACGUUCCUGGGAAACCUGACCAACACCAAUCACAUUCAUUUCUAUGUAUGUGAUGACAUUUCCCACAUAGAAUGAUUUUAAGACAAGAUGGGAACUUCUGUGCGGGCUGGACAGCAUGACAGUGUCCCCAGAACAACUCAUACAUACCAUUUCCAAACUUUAAUUCAUCUCCCUUCUCCCUUCCAAAAGCACUUUCUCUUGUUUUUUGUUUUUUGUUGUUGUUGUUGUUGUUUUUCAAUUUUUUUCUUUUCUUUCCUUUUAUCGAGACAGGGUUUACCUCUGUCACCCAGGCUGUAAUUCAGUGGCACGAUCUCAGCUCACUGCAACCUCUGCCUCCCAGGUUCAAGCCAUCCUCCCGCCCCAGCCUCCCCAAGUAGCUGGGACUACAGGCACCAACCACCAUGCCUAGCUAAUUUUUGUGGGGUUUUUUUUUAGUAGAGACAGGGUUUUGCCAUGUUUCCCAGGCUGGUCUUGAACUCUUAACCUGGUGAUCCACCCACCUCAGCCUCCCAGAGUGCUGGCAUUACAGUCAUGAGCCACUGUGCCUGUCUUGUAUUUCCCUGUCUUGACAAGUAGCAGUAGACCCUACCUAUGUGCCUUAAAGCAGAAACUCAGGUUCCGCCUCUUUCCUGUGCUCCAAUGUCUCACAACUUUCAGUUGCUACGGCUUCAGGACUCUCCUUGGAGAGGCCGCCUCCUCAGGGCCUCCUUGCCUUAGGCGUUUCCUGGUGAUGUUCCUUAGUUAGAACAGCCCCCACAGGCUGGGUCCGGUGGCUCAUGCCUGUAAUCCUAGCACUUAGGGAGGCUGAGGAGGCAGAUCACUAGGUCAGGAGUUCGAGCCCAGCCUGACCAACAUGGUAAAACCCCAUCUCUAUUAAAAAUACAAACAAAAAAAAAUUAGCUGGGUGUGGUGGUGUGCGCCUGUAAUGCCAGCUAUUUGGGAGGCUGAGGCAUGAGAAUCACUUGAACCCAGGAGGCAGAGUUUGCAGCGAGCCAAGAUUGUGCCACUGCACUCCAGCCUGGCAACAGAGCAAGACUCCGUCUCAAAAACAAACAAACAAACAAAUAAAAAAAGAACAACCCCCAUCCCACCACUCUCCCCAAACUUCUUUCAGGGCCCAGCGCCAGUCUCCCCUGCUCCCUGACUCCCCCGGCCAUACCUGAGUACCUCCCCAAGCACUGCCAGGAGGGCAGCACAGUACAGAAGUUUCUAGUCCACUCCUCUACGAGCUGCGUUUAUAGUGAGCACACAAGACACAAAACGUCACCUCCAGGGCAGGGUGUGUCUCCUCAAUUCCAAGAUGUACAUUGUUUUUCACGUUUUACUGUUUCUGAAAUCAAAACUCAGGCUCACCAUCAGUGGCCUCCUUAACACUGAGAAAAUGCUAGAAAGAUAGAUACACUUCAAAAUGGGUAGGGCAUGGUGGCUCAUGCCUGUAAUCUCAGCACUUUGGGAGGCCAAGGCAGGUGGAUCACUUGAGGUCAGAAUUUCAAGACCAGACUAGCCAACAUGGUGAAGCCCCAUCUCCACUAAAAAGUGAAAAAGAGGUCGGGCACAGUGGCUCACGCCUGUAAUCUCAACACUUUGGGAGGCCAAGGUGGGUGGAUCAGAAGGUCAAGAGAUCAAGACCAUCCUGGCCAACAUGGUGAAACCCAUCUCUACUAAAAAUACAAAAAUCAGCUGGGUGUGGUGGCAUGCACCUGUAGUCCCAGCCACUUGGGAGGCUGAGGCAGAAGAAUUGCUUGAACCCAAGAGGCAGAGGCUGCAGUGAGCCACCACUGCACUCCAGCCUGGUGACAGUGCAAGAUUCUGUCUCAAAAAAAAAAAAAAAAAAAAAACAGCCAGGCAAAGUGGUGGUGCAUGCCUGUAGUCCCAACUUCUCAGGAGGCUGAGGCAAGAGAAUCACUUGAACCCAGCUCAUGCCUGUAAUUUCAGCACUUUGGCAGGCAGAGGCAGGUGGAUAUCACCUGAAGUCAGGAGCUCGAGACCAACCUGGCCAACAUGGUGAAACCCUAUCUCUACUAAAAAUACAAAAAUUAGUCGGCAUUACCUGUCUUGCAUGUUCACUACAUGCACAGCUCUUAGAGGAGUGGACUAGAAACUUCUGCACUGCCUGGCAGUGCUUGGGGAGACGCUCAGGUAUGGCUGGGGGAGUCAAGAAGUGGGUGAAAGGUUGAGGAGGCAGAGGUUGCAGUGAGCUGAGAUCAUGUCAUUGCACUCCAGCCUGGGCAACAGAGAGACUGUCUCAAAAAAAAAGAGAGAAAAGAAAGAUAAAAAAUGAAAGGAAGGAGAAAAGGGAGGGAGAAGUUAAAGGGAUGAAGUUGGCCCACCUGGUUCCAGUGCUGGCUCUGCCACUCAAUAACUGUGGCCUUGGGCAGGUAGUGUCCUGUUUCUGGGACUCAGUUUCUUUAUCUAUAAAAUGGGGACAAUAUAGUACCUUCCCCUUAAGAUUAACAUGAGCCUACUUGACACCCUAGCACUGAUACGUGAACAAUCUUGGCAGACUAUAACCAAAUGCUUCUGCACUAUGCAUUGUGUCUGUGCAGAGUAUUUGUAUAAUAGAUAAUCAUGGCAUUUUUCACCUUCAAACAUCACAUGUUGUUUCUGAACCCUCAUCUUCCAGCACAGAGCCCAGCCAUGCAUCCAGCUGAGCCUCCCAGACUGGGCUUCUUAAAACUAGAUUAGGGCUGGGUGUGGUGGAUCAAGCCUGUAAUUCCAGCACUUUGGCAGGCAGAGGCAGGUGGAUAUCACCUGAGGUCAGGAGUUUGAGACCAACUUGGCCAACACGGUGAAACCCCAUCUCUACUAAAAGUACAAAAAUUAGUCAGGAUUGCAUGCCUGUAAUCCUUGCUUCUUGGGAAGCUAAGGCAGGAGAAUUGCUUGAACCUGGGAGGCAGAGGUUGCAGUGAGCCGAGAUUGCCCCAUUGCACUCCAGCCUGGGCGACAGAGAGACACUGUCUCCCGUUAACUGCAAAAAAAGAAAGUAAAUUAUGUUCAUCCUCAAGUCAUGUCUCCACUGACAAAUAGAACCAAGUUUAUUUAUUUCAUUAUUCAAUUUAGUUAAGUGUUUUUUUUCCUCUCCAAGGAAUUCUAGCAAUAAAGUCACACAUUACCCAAAAGAUCUCUGGCAGAGGGAUUUCUGGGUCAAGGUAACUCACCUACAGAGAGUCUGGAGCUCCUAGCCUGGAUGAAAGGAAAGUUCGUUAGCUUUAUUUACUUCUUCCGACAUAAUUGGUCAGCAGAGUAUAAAUGCUGAUGUCAUGUCUAAUUAGCGGUGGCCUCUGCCCUUCUGGUCACAGCACCGCGUCUGGCAUGUUGGUGUGGAUGGAGCAGUUUCACAGGGAGUAUCUUUAUGAACUAGCUCUCCCAUGGAGCUGCUCUAAUUAUCAUUUAAGAAAACAAGCUUUUUGAUGUUGUAUAGACAGUUCAGCAACAUCUCCCCAACAGGGCUGAUAAUUGUAACAGCCUUUCAGUCCAUGAUGGGCUUUUCCACAAGUGAUCACAUCAGAUCAUGGGGAACUAGAAACUGGGACCUCAUCUCUGCUCAUCUCAGUCCUGGACACCUUGCCCAUCUCGGCUCGUCAAAUACCUUCAAGGGCUCUAAAGCUAAUCGUUUGUAUUGGCACAGAUUUUGCCUGGUGUCCAAAAUCCAGAUUUAAAAACCAGUGGCAAUCAUUGUGCUCCUGGGUACCAUUUAUUGUCAUGAAAUCAAACACAGCAUAAAGGAAAACUGUUCAAUAUCUAAAAGAUUAGCGUGGAUACAAAUAUUUGUGGAUACUAGUACAUUUUAUAACACUGUUUGUUUAAAAACAAAAACAAGUAGGGGAAUAAUUUGAAUUCCUCAGUCGCAGGAUUCCACUGAGUUUUUGAGAGGUGAAGAUUUUUCACAAAGUGAGUUACAGACUGAGAGUAUCAAUCUGACAACACUUUGUUCUUGGCUCACACCAUUCAGUUUCAUAAAAUCAGUAAGAUAAAAGCCACGCACCACUGGGGGAGAGAGGAGGUGAGCUCCACCUUCUGUUUCCCUCUCUGUCUGUCUCACACACACUCCAACACCAGUGACCUCUGCUUUUCCAUCCAAACACAGGACCAAUUACCAGACUCCAGGUUGCUUCCAGGAUUUUUUACGGGACCCUGGAAUUUAGUGUAGUUAUUUGUGUAGUUGUGAUCCCCUCCGAGAUUGUGAAAUCCUUGAGGGAAAGAGUUAGUGCCUAAUAAAUUUAGGCACUAAUUUUAUUCUACCCUGAAAUUCUACCAUGUCACUCACCCAUAUCAUCCUCUCCAUGCAGACUCUAGCUCAAUCCCUCAAUCCAGUCUUCUGUUCUGUUGUUGUUUUUUUUUUAUUGUUUUGUUUUUUGAGACAGAGUCUCACUGUCACCCAGGCUGGAGUUCAGUGGUGUAGUCUCAGCUCACUGCAACCUCCACCUCCCAGGCUCAAGUGAUUCCAGAGGCCCACUUACACUCUUCGAUGCACAAUACUGGUGGUUUCAUGCUUUCCCUGAGGCCCAUCCAUGGGCCCCGGAACUUUCCAACCCCUUUGCUUAUGAAUGAAUUGCCUCUACCCCAUCACACGCCUCUGCAUUCCAAAUAUCUCCACCUUUGCCUGAGCUGCUCCCUAAAAUACCUUUCCACUUUCUAUCCAUCAAAUCCCACUAGGAUGUAAAUUCCUUGAGGACAGGGCUCUGACUCAUUCACUGUUCUAUCUCCUCCGCUUCAGCCUGCACCUGCCCCUAGUAGAUGCCCAAAGGUGUUUGUUGAUAGACAAAUUCAAAAAAAUAUAUUUAUUCAGUGCUUACCAUACUCUAGAUAUUGGAGAUACAGUGGUGAGCUCCAGUAGUCAUGAUUUCUAUUCUCGUGGAACUACCAGUUUGAAGGACGUCUUCAUUAUUUAUUGCCAUGUAACACAAUACUCCAAAAUUCACCAGUUUAAAGCAAUAAACAUUCAUUGUCUGACAUAUCUCCUAAAGGUUGGGAAUCCAGGAACGGCUUAGCUGAGUGGUUCUGGCUCAGGGUCUCCCACAAGGUUGCAGUCAAGCUGGUGGCUGCAUCCUCUGGAAGCUUGAGUGAGGCCGCAGCAUCCGCCUCAAAGCUCACUCACAUGGCUCUUGGCUGGCUGCAGUUCCUUACUGGCCAUAGGUCUUUGUUUCUUGCCACGUGCCUCUCCAAAGGCUGCCGUGAAUGUCUUCAUGACCCCAUGACAUGGGAGUUGGCUUCCCCCAAAGUUAGUGAUCCAGGGGAGAGAGAAUCUUCAAGAUGGAAGUCAUGUUUUAAGACCUAAUCUUGAAAGUGACAUACCAUCACCUCUGCCAUAUGCAAUUGGUCACAGAACCAAGCCUGGUACAGUGUGGGAAGGGAUCUCACCUUACAGGGUGUAACAGCAGGAGGUGGAGAACAUUGGGUGCCAUCUUGGAGGCUGUUCCCACAGUGGGGGAGAAAGACAGUAAUCAAACAUCACAUAAUGCACAUGUAAUUGCAAACGGAGCUAUGUGCUCUCAAAAUACAGCCCAUGGUCCUGUGAGGGCGUAUAACUAGGGGUCCAACUUAGACAUAGGUGGAAACCACAGAUGAAACUUGGCCAUGGCCUCUAAGGGAUGUGUUGAUAAGAGAUGAGGAAAGGAAAAAGGGCAUUCUAGUCCAUUGGCUCACAAGCUUGGUUGCUCAUUGGAGUCAUCUGGCAAGAUUUUUAAAAUACCGUUGCCCAGACUACCCCUCCAAAGACUCUGAUCUAAAUGUUCUGGGGUAAAGCCUGGACAUUAGGAUGCUUUUAAGCUCCCAAGGUGAUUUCAAUGUGCAACCAUGUUAGAGAACAACUGUUGUAGGAUAGGGAACCACUCGUUGCAAAUGUCUGUUACCAGAGGGAGACUGACAUGCUUGAGGAGCUGAGGGUCAGGAGGGCUGGAGGGUAGAGAGUGCAGGAGAGCAACGUGGAGUGGGGGCGAAAGGUGGGCAGAUGCUGGAUCUGUUGAUGUACCCCAGAGAACACCUUAGGGAGGCUGGGCUUGGAGGGUAUGAGGAGAGUGAGGCAGUGACAAGAUCCAACUGGCAUUUCCAAAAGAUGCCUCUGGCUCAGAUUCAAGAACAGAUUGAAGGGGAGCCCUAGGGUGGGGGUACCAUUCUGGAAUGAUAGAACUUUGGUUCCAACUGUGAUAGGCAGUGAGGACUUGGACUAAGGCAGUGACAGCAGGUGACAGCAAUAUGUUGGGCAGAGUCAAGAGUUUUGUUACUAAUUCCUAUGAUCCACUUCAAAACUUUGAUUUGACAAAUGGGAAACUGAGGUCAGAGAGAUGACAGGGCUCAUCCAAGGUCAUUCCACAAUAGGAUAAAGCAGAAGGAAAGAGAAACCAGCUUGGCCCUGACAACCUGUGGUUUUAAAUGAUAAACAAAACCAGAGGAGAAGAGAAAAGGAAAUGAGGAUGAGAGCAUCAGGCGAAGAUAAAAGAAGACACAUCUAACACCCACACACACACGCUUGCAUGCUCACAAAUGACAAGACCAAAAGGUCACUGGCAAGUUGAAAAAUAGAUGGUGUAAUUAUAAAGCUGUCUGAAAUGCCAGCCAGGGUCAUCCCUGUGACCUGUCCUUCCGCGCCUGGCAGGGACACUGGGGGAGGGCUGGGGAAAGCUGCCAGCCCUCUUGACAUUCAGCUUCUGUGGCGUGGAGUGGAGGGAGUGUUUCAAGCCAUGCCUUGCCUCUGUUCUCCAUGGCGGAAUUUGUGACUUCCUCAUCAAGACAGCCCAGGCCCCUUGACAGCCUGUCCCAACUCUGUGGUCACAUGGGAAAAGGUUAUUUCCAGCACCCUACUUUUAGCCACACAUUAAACAGUUGGGGUCCUUCCUUUUCCAUUGGUAAUGAUCCCCUGCCUCUAAAGAGGUGACUUCUUGGUGUCUUUCUUGAGAAAAGGAGAUGGUGACUCACAUCGUACCAGCCUGAAAUAAUUAGUUUCAGGCAAGUGCAUGUAGAUAUGGGUAAAUACUUUAAAGUGAAGCCCUCUAAUCAAUAGUCUCUAUGUUUAUCAGGAAAUGAGCAGAUGGUGUGAGGUUUCCUAAAAAACACAGAGACAAGAAACAAAUAAUUCCACGACAUCCUGGGUUAGACAGAUCAUUAAUUGGGUACUAAAUUUUACUGAAGGUUUAGGGAAGAAUAUAUCAUUCUGAAAUGUUAGGGCUAGAAGGACCCUCUAAGAAAAUGUAGUCUAUGGAUGGCCAAUAAAUGGCACACGUUUCCCUGCAUACCCACACCAGACAUUAAUAAUCCAUCACAGCACUACUGACCUCUGAGUACUCCUGAAGACAGUAUUCCAGGUAUGUAUUAUCAAUCAUGGUUGUCACCCAAGACCUGCAUUAUCUUUAUAUAGUAAAAUUAAAAUUUUAAAUUCUGUGCCUCUGUUACACUAGCCACCUUUCAAGGGCUCAAUAGCCACAUGUGGCUAUUGGACAGCACAGAAUAGAACAUUUGAAUCACUGCGUAAAGUCCAACUGGACAGCCGUAGAAUCAUAUUUCCCAAAUGGCAGUCAUUUAUAUAUCAUCUUCGCACUUUUUGCCACAUUGACUCUUAAAAAAAUUAUCUAAUAAGGAAAUGUUAAAAAUUAUCAAAGGAAAUGGAAAGCCAGUUUCCUCUUUUUUUUUUUUUUUUUUUGGAUAGUCUCGCUCUCUCACCCAGGCUGGAGUGCAGUGGUACCAUCUUGGCACACUACAACGUCUGCGUCCUGGGUUCAAGCAAUUCUCUUGCCUCAGCUUCCUAAGAAGCUGAGAUUACAGGUGUGUGCCACCCCAACUGGCUAAUUUUUGUAUUUUUAGUAGAGACAGUGUUUCACUGUGUUGUCCAGGCUGGUCACAAACUCCUGACCUCAGGUGGUACACCUGCCUCAGCCUCCCAAAGUGCUGGGAUUACAGGCGUGAGCCACCACACCCAGCUAAGCCUUUCAUGAAUCGCACACUGUCAUGAUUAGCAUGGACUGAGACAACCUAUGAGAAGAAGAGGAGUUUGCUCAAGGUCUGUAAAGAAGAAUGGUGAGAGGAGGGGGGAUGGCAUGCACACAUGCACGUACACAAACACAGGCACACGCACACACUCACAGAGGCAUUGUAAAUAGUGGCUAUCGGGGUGGGUUCCGGGCUAGGCUUCUCCAAAUUAGAUAAUGUCUCUGAGCCUCAGCUGCCUCAUCUGUAAAAUUCAGAAAGGGUGAAGCAAAUCAUACCCAGCUGAAGGAUGCCUGGAAGUCAGAUUUCUUAACCUCAGCAGUGUCAGCACUUGGGGGCUGGAUCAUUGCUUGCUGUGGGGGCUGUCCCGUGUGCUGUAGGAUGUUAGCAGCAUCCCUGGCCUCUCUAUUCACUGGAUGCCAGUAGCACUACCCCUCCCCUGGUUGUGACAACCAAAAAUACAUUGCCCAGUGUCCACUGGGGGGCAAAUUCACCCUUGGUUAAGAGCCACUGCUGAAAGGAUGAGAGAUGAUGUAUAUAAAACAGCUCAUGGUGCCUUGUGUACAGUUAGUGUUCAAUUAAUCAUCACCAUUGUUAAUUGCAUUCAUAUUUGCAUUUGGAGGGGGGUCUCUCAUCCCCACUUUACAAGUAAGGAAACAAAGCCAUAGCCAGGUUUUGAGCAGAGUUCUGGUUGUUUCCUGCAUCUGUGUUCCUGCCCCACUUCAGGCAGCCCUACCUAAGCUUGCAUCACCUGGACUCCACUGUAAAACCCCACAUCAGCUCGGAAGGAUGCAGGUGGCCAGAAAAGAGGUUUUCUGCAUUUGAACUGGGUUUCUGCACUUCCCACCAGCCAGCGCAUCAGACCGGGCUGAGGCAGAGAGGCUCCCUGGAGCUCUCAGGAAGUAUCUCAACAAUGCCAGUGUUUGUCCCCCAUCUUGAGGCUGACAAUGAUGCCAAGAAAAGCGCAGCUUCUAACCCACGGGAGAUGACGUACUGAGGUCGUUUGGAAAUUGCUUUAAUGCCUUCAAGUGCAACAAACUUAUCUGACCUCUCAGUGCCCAUGCACACCGUCCCUCUUUCGAUGAGCUCACUGAGGGUCAGGACGGUGACUUCCACAGUCAGGGCAGGGCACUGGGGCUACACUGUGAGGCUGCAUUUUCUCUGUUGACUUCCUGAGCUUUGUUUGCUCAUCCCGCGAAAUCCACUUUGCAACGCCUGGCCAUUUUCCCCCUCCAAGCUCAUCCCUCUUCAUUCGGUUUUGGACCUAUUGCCCUACAUUGAUGUUUUUGCCACGAUAAACUCUUUGAGCAAAACAGGGUUAGUCUUUAAGUCAGGAUGAGAGACACGAUUCACUCCCUGCUGUCUUAGCAAUUGACAAUGCACGGUAGUUUGCUAAAGGCCCUAAGAUGUUCCACAUUAAGGAAAUUCAUUUCUUUGUUUUAUUUAUUUUUUUUUCUGUCUUUUAGUUUUUGUUUUUGAGAGUCUCACACUGUGGCCCAGGCUGGAGUGCAGUGACGUGAUCACAGCUCACCAAAGCCUCAACAUCCUGGGCUCAGGGGUCCUCCCACCUCAGCCUCCUAAGUAGCUGGGACAACAGUUGUGAGCCGCUACCUCGUUGGCUAUAUCUUUGUAUUUCUUGUAGAGAUGGGGUUUCACCAUGUUGCCCAGGCUGGUCUCAAAGUCCUGGGCUCAAAUGAUCCUCCUGUCUGGGCCUCCUAAAGGGUUGGGAUUACAGGUGUGAGCCCCGUCUAACUGUUUUAAAAACAACUUUUCCUAAGUCUAUUUCAUUACAAACGCUUUUCCACUGUGGUGGCAAAGACUGUCUAGCAGUUCACUCAAUCCACUUCCUUAUUCCAGGUACCCAGACAGACAGUCUCCCUUGCAGUUCAGUCCAGCCACACGAUGGAGUUCUAGCAAACGGGACAGGAGAUGAAGUAUCAGGCACCUCUUCCAGGCUGCCUCGUACAAACAUCCCAUACAGUGCUUUAUUCGAUUUCCCUGUCUGCCAGCAGAGUAGAAUUGACCCAGGGGGAUGAGGAAGACAGAUGGAAAGAGCUUGAACCCUCGAACUAUCAUGUGGAAGGCUGCCUGCCACACACUUGCAUGAACCUAUAAUGUGCAUCAUUGAUAUGGUGGGAUGUUUUAUUACUGCAGCUGCUAUUACUCAUCCUGACUACUUGUCAUGAACUACUGGUUUCCCCCACCAAAUUCAUACAUUAAAGCCCUAACCCCUAUGUGGCUAUAUUUGGAGAUGGAGCCUCUAAGAAAGUAAUUAAGGUUAAUUGAGGUCAAAAGGGUGGGGUCCUGAUCUGAUAGGAUUUGUGUCCUUAUAGUAAGAGACUCCAGGUGGCGCUCAGUGGCUCACACCCGAAAUCCAAGCAGUUUGGGAGGCUGAGGCAUUUGAGGCUAAAAGUUUGAGAGCAGCCUGGGCAACAUAGCGAGACCUGAUCUAAAAUGUUUUUAAUUAGUUGGACAUUGUGGCAAGCACCUGCAGUCCUAGCUGCUCUGGAGCCUGAGACAGGAAGAUCACUUGAGCCAAGUAGGUUGAGGCUUCAGUAAACUAGGAUUACACCAAUCUGUUGCUCCAGCCUGGGCAACAGAGCGAUACCUGUGUCUAAAAAGAUUUUUAAAAAGCAAAUACACCAAAGUGUUUGCUCACUUUCUUUCUCUCCACGUGCACCAAGGAAAGGCCAGGAGAACAGCCCUCUGCAAGUCAGGAAGAGAUCCAGUGCCAGAAACUGAAUUGGCCAGCACCUUGAUCUUGGACUUCCAGCCUCCAGAACUGCAAGAAAACAAAUGUCUGUUGCAUAAGCCACUUAGUGUUUGAUACUGCAUCGUGGCAAUGUAACAAAUUUCCGAGUAACAAAUGAAUUACUACAGCAUGCAACACAAAGAAACAUCAGGGUGAUCAAUGUUUUCCAGCUCAUACUUGGAGAAUUUGUGCCUUACACAUAAUUCCCGUGAAAUUGAACAUUCAGUGAUAUUUGGAUAGGCCACAUAGGUUAAUGUUCACAGAGACCCACACAGGGUCUAAAAUGUUGCUGCAUGAUAGCUCCCUCAAGUAUUAUAUUUUUUAAAUGGGAAUAUUAUUCAGUCUUUAAAAAGGACUUCCUACCAUCUGUGGAAUGGUACCUGGAGGACACUAUGCCGGACAAGUCCCAGCACUUUGGGAGGCCAAGGUGGGUGGAUCACUUGAGGUCACGAGUUUGCGACCAGCCUGCCCAACAUGGUAAAACCUCAUUUCUACUAAAAAUACAAAAUAAUAAUAAUUAUUAUUAUCCAGGCUUUGUGGCAGCUGCCUGUAGUCCCAAGCUACUCGGGAGGCUGAGGCAGGGGAAUCAGUUGAAUCCAGGAGGCAGAGGCUGCAGUGAGCGGAGAUCACACCUCUGGGCAACAGAGCAAGAUUUUAUCUCAAAAAAAGAAAAAAAAAUACUGUAUCAAUAUACACCUUAUUCAUCCCACAUAACUCCAGCUUUACACCCUUUGACACCAUCUCCCACUUCCCCACCCCUGGCUACCACUGUUUUACUCUCUGUAUCUAUGUAUUUAUCUUUUUAAAUUUCCACAAAGAAGUGAGAUUAUGUGAUGUUUUUGUUUCUGUCUCUGGCUAAUUUCACUUGGCAUAGUGUCCUCCAGGUACCAUUCCACAGAUGGUGCCUGGCCUGAUACAGUAUUAUAAUGAUAGUCCUCAUGUUGUAUAUUACACUUCAAUUACCUCUUGAGGUGUAAUUCACAAUAUGAGGACUAUCAUUAAUAAUACUGUAAUAUGUACUGGAAAUCUGCUAAAAGGGUAGAUUUCAAGCACUGUCACCAACAUACAUGUGCAACAAGUGGUGGAAAGCUAACUCCAAUCAGCUUACACCAAAACAAUAAAACUGUAUUGGCUCAUGGGAUGAAGAAUGGGUGGUGCACCCAGGUCAAGGGAAGGGGGUGGGGAGAGAGUGUGGUCUCAAGGAUCUCAGUGUCUCCAAGUCAUCCACCUUGUUCCUUUUCACUAUGCCUUCACUCCCUCAUACUAUGGACUCUUAUGUUCAUGCACCAGGUCCCGAUCUUAUCAUUUCUGUCACCAACCAGAAGAAAAAGAAUGACUUAUUCCUGGUUUAAAGAAUCCUCAGAGAAAACCCUGAUUGGCUGGCUUAGGUCAAGUGCCUAAUUUUGACCAACCAGCUAUAGGCAGAGCAGGGCAGGGUCACUUCAGUAAUACAGACAGAGCUGUGGGGUUUCCAUUCCUGUGACUGGAGACCUGGCCCCCAUGAAAUGUCUCGUUCUGAGCGGGCUGUCCUUUGAAGGGGCAUGCACCAGAUGUGUUCUGAGCACCAUGGCUGUUUGGGAAGGUACAUAUUGAUACCUGUGUUAGUUUCCUAUUGCUGCUUUGAGAACUCACCCAUUUUACGGCAGCUUAAAACAACAGACAUUUAUUCUCUCACAGUUCUGAAGGCCAGAAGUAUGAAAUUGAGGUGUGGGAAGGGUUCAUUACUUCUAGAGGAUCUGAGAGGGCAUGUGUGCCAUGCCUCUCUCCCAGCUGUUGGUGGUUGAAGCAAUCUUUGGCAUUCCUUGGCUUGUACACUAUCACUCCAGGCUCUGCCUCCGUCUACACAUGAGUUCACAUGGCUUUCUCUCCCACGUCUGUGUAUCUUAAAUUUCCCAUUCUUUUUUCUUAAAAGGAGACUAGAUUGGAUUUAGGACCCACUUAAAUAAUCCAGGAUGAUUCCAUCUUGAGAUACUGAACUGCAUUUCAAAUAAGUUUCCAUUCCCAGGUACCUGAAGUUAGGGCAUAGACAUAUCUUUUUAGGGACCACUCUUUAGUGCAUACCUGAAAGUACCAGCUCUAUUCCUUCAGGGACAUAUUGGAUAAUUGUACUUUUAUAUGACAAGGCAUUGAGAGUUAUUUUUAUUUUUCCUCUCUCUUUUUCUUAUUUUUCAAGGUAACAUUUGUUGAUCUACAUAAGACAUUCUACAUCACUUAAGUGUGUUGGAAAUUAAAUUUAAUGAAGAAAAGACAAGGGUUUGGGGAAAAGCUUCAAUUUCAUCUUCAGGAAGUCCUUUUCUGGACAUCCCUUUUGCACUGUUUAUGGAAAUUUGCUGUUUUUCUGUAGGUUCCCAUGGUAGACACAGUCACCCAGACCCUCCUCUUUGACAAUUACCUGCUCCACCAAUGAGCAGGCUACUUGACUCCCUAGCCAUAACCGAUUGGUCCAGAAGUAGACAGGUGGCCCAUUCUGGGCCAAUCAGAUGGUCUUUCCUUGGAGGAGUCCUGUUGCUAUCUGGGCUGGUCUCCUCCAUGGAGAUUAUAUGUAUCUGAGUCAUGGAGAUGAUAUAUAUCUAAAUCAAGGAGGGUCAUUUUCUGCCCUGUGCUCUGAAGGCAGCUGGAUGAUGAAGGCAGAGGCAGAUCCACAAAAGGAGGCAAUGGUGAGAGAAGGGAAGACAGGACUGGCUUAGACGCAAAAAAUAGUAGGUUUGUCCUACUUCCUAUUUUUCCUGGGGGAGGACUAGCUACAAUGUCUGCACUUCGAUGACAGGCAUUACAUGAGGCCGCUGGAUCCCCAUGUCAAAUUUCCUCCAUUUAAAAAAAUUGCUUAAAGUAGCCUUGAAAGAGUGUUAACUGUCAGCAGAGAACUCCAGAGAAUUCUCUUCUUUGUUAGCCAGUUAACUUCCAUUACCUCCCAGUCCACUGCUGCACUUUUUUCUGGAUCUUAAUUUCCUCAUCUAUAAAAUAUGAAUAAUAAAAGCUACCUCAAAGGAUUGUCAUAAGAAUUAAAUAAGAUAAAUCUGGGAGUUUUUUCUGAGAUCUUUUUCAAAAAAUAUUAAUAUGGAAUAUCACAUACUGGGGGCAGUUGGCGGGGGUGGCCAGGGGAGGCACAGUGGAGGGGUGGGGAGGCUGGGGAGGGAUAACAUGGGGAGAAAUGCCGGAUAUAGAUGAAGGGGGAAUAGAGGCAGCAGACCACCUGGUUAUGUAUGCACCUAUGCAACAACCCUGCAUGACCUGCACAUGUACCCCAGAACCUAAAGUACAAUUAAAAAAGAAACUAUUAAUAUCAUAUAUUACCCUUUUGGUGUUAGACUGUGAAUUACUUAACAGCAAAAACCAUCACUUGUUGUUGUUUUUUUUUUUUUUGGAAACGGAGUCUUGCUGUCACCCAGGCUGGACUGCAGUGGUGCAAUCAUAGCUUACUGCAGCCUCGAACUCCUGGGCUCAAGAGAGCCUCCUUCCUCAGCCUCCUGAGUAGCUGGGACCACAGGCAUGUGCCAUCACACAUGGCUAAUUAAAAAGAAAAACUGUAGAGAUGAGGGUCUCAUGAUGUUACCCAGGCUAGUCUCAAGCUCCUGGGCUCAAGGGGUCCUCCCUCCUCUCCUCCCGAAGUGCCAGGAUUACAAGCAUAAACCAUCUCAUCCAGCCCUUUAAAACAAUUUUUUGGCCGUGCACAGUGUCUCACACCUGUAAUUCCAGCACUUUGGGAGGCUGAAGCAGGUGGAUCACUUGAGGUCAAGAGUUCAAACCCCGCCUGGCCAACGUGGUGAAACCCCAUGUUUUCUCUCAUUUUGUCUCUACGGGAAAUACAAAAAUUAGCUGAAUGUGGUGGCAGCCACCUGUAAUCCCAGCUACUUGAGAGGCUGAGUCAUGAGAAUCACCUGAAUCCGGGGGGGCAGAGGCUGCAGUGAGCCGAGAUCAUGCCAUUGCACUCUCGCCUGGACAACAUAGUGACACUGUGUCUCAAUAAAUAAUAAAUAAAUAAAUAAGUUUUAAAAUCUCCAGCUCCUGACAUGAGAUUUGGCACCUACUAGUGUGCUUGAUAAAGGUUUGUUAAUGAAACAAAUAAUUGCUAUUUGACGACCUCAAACAGCAAAUGACUCUUCCUACAAAUGACCUCAUUUAAAUCUUAUAUCCCCUGGAGAGCUAGAUGUUAUUAUUAACACCAUCUUACUAAUGAGGAAACAAGGGCUCAGAAAAGGUGGGUACAGUUCUCAAGGCUGCACAGUCAGUGGUUGAAGCAGGCUUUUUUAAUUUUUUUUAAGGCAGAGUGUCACUCUAUCAUCCAGGCUGGAGUGCAGGGGCAUGAUAUCAGCUCAUUGCAACCUCCACCUCCAAGGUUCAAGCAAUUCUCCUGCCUCAGCUCCCGAGUAGCUGGGAUUAUAGGUGCACACCACCAAACCUGGCUAAUUUUUCUAUUUUUUUAGUAGAGACUGGGUUUCAUCAUGUUGACCAGGCUGGUCUUGAAAUCCUGACCUUAGGUAAUCCACCCACCUCGGCCUCCCAAAGUGCUGGGAUUACAGGUAUGAGCCACCGUGCCUUGCCUGAAGCAGGUCUCCAAGGCACCUCUCUCUCUGCACUGUGAGCUUACACUCACAGCCAUCACAUGAGACUCGACACAGGUGGGCUUCAAGGCACGGUAGCCACUCCUUGAACCUGGGAGGAGGCUUUUACAGCAGAGAAAGGGCAGGUGGGCUGCCCGGACGCUGGAGGCUGAACCCUCUGCUGCCCUGCAUCUGUUGUAGGAAAAAGCCUCGUGAGCUGGGUACUGAUCUGGGAACGUGUGGUCUGAACUCCAGCUGCCCAGGCUUAGGGGCAGAGGGAGGUUCGGCGUUCCCCAUGCUCAGCACGCUAGCUUCCCGCUGCGGUGGGGCCAGUGACAGAUGCAUUCCGAGAACAAGCAGACACCUCUGUGCUCACCCACUUUAAUUAGGUGAAGGAGUCAGGACCCAUUAGGAUCACCUAGAAAUACCAUGCCGGGCCUGUGCUCCACCCACACAUGCUCCAAAUCGCUGCCUUCCCACUGCAACUACUGUUUGGUGAGUAUUUCUUUAUUUGUAGUUUUUAAAAAAUUAAGCAGAUAAUACAACCGCAUGGUAAUUUUUUCAAACAGCACAAGAAGAUACGUUAUAAAAAUCAGCUGGGCACAGUAGCUUACACCUGUAAUCUCAGCACUUUGGAAGGCAGAGGUGGGAGGAUCCCUUGAGUCUCAGAGUUCAGGACUAGCCCGGAGAAACAUGGAGAAACCCCAUCGCUAGAAAAAAUAAAAAAUUAGCCAGGCAAGCUGGUGCAUGCCUGUAGUCCUAGCCACUUAGGAGGCUGAGGUGGGAGGAUCACUCAAAGUUGGAGGCUGCAGUGAGCCAUGAUAGUGUCAUUCCACUGUUGCCCACCAGGGUGACAGAGUAAGACCCUGUCUCAAAAGUAACUACAUAAACAAAUAAUCUGGUCUCACUCUUAUCACUGACUGCAAGGCUACCUCCCCACAAGUCAUGACUAUUUUAACAGUCUCUUGUGUAUCCUCCUUCAAUAAAUGUUUUGUUUCUGAAAAAGUGCAGUGGCACUAUCGGCAGCCCCAGAUUCCCAGGCUCAAAUGAUCCUCCUGCCUCAGCCUCCCAAGUGAAUGGGCCCACAGGCACGCACCAGCAUGCCCAGCUAAUUAUUUUUAUUUUUGUAGAGACAGGGUCCCUAUGAAAAUAUGAAUGCUCAUGUCCAGGAAUACUUAUAUCUAAUAUUUAAAAACAGGCACACAAUUUUUUUCUAGUUAAUAAGACAUUUUGGAAGUGGCUCCAUAGCACAAAGGAUGCUGCAUUUCCAUGAUGUUCAUUACAUCAUUUCCGUAUUGGGUGGAUGGACGUCUGUGGUGUAUGGAGUCAUCUGUUAUCACCAACAGUGGCUCAACGAGCUCUUUACAGCCUCAGUCCUUGCUUUAUGUGCAGUGCAUUCACAGAAAACAAUUCCUUGUGGUGCAAUUGCUGGAUCAAAGACUAAACUUUUUUCUUUUUGUUUUGUUUUUGUUUUUUUGAGACAGGAUCUUGCUCUGUUGCAUGAGCUCUGUUGCAAUUCUCCUGCCUCAGCCUCCCAAAUAGCUGGGACUACAGAUGCACGCCACCACACCCAGCUAAUUUUUGUAUUUUUUUUAGUAGAGACAGGGUUUCACCAUGUUGGCCAGGAUGGUCUCAAUCUCUUGACCUUGUGAUCCACCCGCCUUGGCCUCCCAAAGUGCUGGGAUUACAGGCAUGAGCCACUGUGCCUGGCCUAUUUUUAUUUUUUUUGAGACAGUCUCGCUCUGUUACCCAGGCUGGAGUGCAAUGGGGCGAUCUCGGCUCACUGCAACCUUCGCCUCCCAGAUUCAAGUGAUUUCCCCUGUCUCAGCCUCCCAAGUAGCUGGGAUUACAGGCAUGCACUACCAUACCCAGCUAAUUUGUAUAUUUUUAGUAGAGAUGGGGUUUCACCAUGUUGGCCAGGCUGGUUUUGAACUCCUGACAGAUGAUCUGCCCACCUUGGCCUCCCAAAGUUCGGGGAUUGCAGGUUUGAACCACCACACCUGGACUGGAUGUGUAUCUUUAAUUGCAAUAGAUAUUGCCACCCAGUUUAAUGUCACCAACUGAUGAUCUCCCAAGAACAUGUCAGUCUCUAAGACAGGUUCCACUUCACUCUGUUUCCCGAUGUUUGCGUCCAGUUUGUCUCUUGGAAAUCCCACAAGUGUUCCCCUCACUCCAGCCAACUGCCCAACUCUAGGGAAAUCCUCUCACACAAGUUAUAAACCAGAAUUAUGAGUCUGGCUGGUAAAAGAUCUUUUAAAAAUCAUUUGCAUAGUAUACAAAAUAGUAUACAUAAUAUAGAAAUAUAAAAUAAUGCAUGCUCAUAUGAGUGAUUGAAAUCCAAUGGUGAAGGGAAAUGGUUAGGAAAUAAUAUUAAAUAACAAAGGCAGAAUGCAAAGAGUGGUUCUUACUCUUGGCUGGGUACAUUGGCAUCCCUGGGAACUAGUGGAAAUAUAGAUGCCGAGACCCCCAAACCUGGGGAUUCUGUUCAGUAGGCUAGGAAUAGAUAGAACAAGAGCAAAAGCCAGCAUUUUUAGCCAGCUUGCCGUCAGAGGCUAUGCACCCACAAAAUGUUAUCUAUUCACUGUGAUCUCAAACGGGAUCAAAGAACAAAAAAUGAGGAACCCAACCAGAAGGAAACAGCGCUUGUCUCCGGGUUUGCUGAGUCUGCGAUGCAUGUUUUCCUCUGUGUUUUCCUGUGGUUUUGCAAACUUUCCUACUGAGAAAGGAUGUUUAGAAAUAAAAGAAUGUUCUAAAAAUGUAGAAGCUCCCUCCCUCCCUCCUUUCCUAUUUUUUUCUCUCCUUUCUUCCCUCUCUCCCUUUCUUUCUUCUUUCUUCCCUUCUUUCUUUCCUCCUUUCUUUUUCUUCUUUCUUUCCUUUCUUCCUUUCUUUCUUUCUUUCCUUCUGUGUGUGAGAUGGAGUUUCACUCUGUCGCCCAGGCUGGAGUACAGUGGCAUCAUCUCACCUCACCGAAACCUCCACCUGCUGGGUUCAACCAAUUUUCCUGCCUCGGCAUCCCAAGUAGCUGGGACCACAGGCACGUGCUACUAUGCCCAGCUAAUUUUUGUAUUUUUAAUAGAGAUGGGGUUUCACCAUGUUGUUCAGGCUGGUCUCAAACUCCUGACCUCAGGUGAUCUGCCCGCCUUGACCUUCCAAAGGGCUGGGAUUACAGGCAUGAGCCACCAUGCCCAGCCCAUCCUUUCUAAUUCAGUUCAGAUUGGAGACGACAGUCAUAAAGAUUGAUGACAGCAUGUGAUCCUGAACUGUGUCCCUUUGCUGUAACGAGCAUCACUGGGACAAUUAUCAGCACUUGAAUAAGGUCUCUGAGUGAGAGGUAUAGGGAAGUUCUUUGUUCUAAUAUUGCAGUUUUUCUGUAAAUUGGAGGCUUCGAGGCUUCACGGAAGCAUCUCUCCAUCACUUUGCUGAGAUAAGACUUUUUUGGCCAGGCGCAGUGGCUCACCCCUGUAAUCCUAGCCCUUUGGGAGGCCAAGGCGGGAAAAUCACUUGAGGUCAGGAGUUUUAGACCAGCCUGGGCAACAUAAGGAGACUCCAUCUCUACCAAAAAUACAAAAAUUGGCUGGGCAUGGUAGCAUGCAGCUGUAGUUCCAGUUACUCAGGAGGCUGAGGUGGGAGGAUGGCUUAAGCCCAGGAGGUGGAGGUUGCUGUGCACUCCUGAGUAGCUGGGAUUUAUUAGCAUGUGCCACUAUGCCAUGCUAGUUUUUGUAUUUUUUAGUAGAGGCGGGGUUUCACCAUGUUGGCCAGGCUGGUCUUGAACUCCUGAUCUCAAGUGAACCACCUGCCUCAGCCUCCCAAAGUGCUGAGAUUACAGGCAUGAGCCACCAUGACCAGACUGGGUGAGAGUGAGACUGUUUAAAAAAGAAAAUAGAAUUGACGUUGACAUGGCACUGUGAUCUAAUCUUCAGAUCAAUUUCCACCAGAAUGUAUCUCAUACCAAAAUUUUAAGAGCUGUUCUAGUUCAGGAUUCCAUCCAAGAUUUUCCAUUGCAUUUAGUGGUCAUGUCCCUUUGAUCUGCUUUCACUUAGAAUGUUCCUCAGCCUUUCAUGACAUUGAUUUUUUGUUUGUUUUGAGACGGAGUCUCACUCUGUCACCAGGCUGGAGUGCAGUGGCUCCAUCUUCUGCUCACUACAACCUCUGCCUCCCAGGUUCAAGCGAUUCUCCUGCCUCAGCCUCCUGAGUAGCUGGGAUUACAGGCACACACCACCAUGCCCAGCUAAUUUUUGUAUUUGUAAUAGAGGCUGGGUUUCACCAUGUUGGCCAGGAUGGCUUCGAUCUCUUUACCUUGUGAUCCAUCCACCUCAGCCUCCCAAAGUGCUGGGACUGUAGGCAUAAGCCAUCGCACCCAGCCUGACAUUUUUGAAGAGUACAAGCCACUUGCUAGGUAUUCGUCCCUUGAUGCUGUUUGCCUGGUGUGUUCUCGUUAUGCAAUUCAGGUUUUGCAUCUUUGGCAAGAUGAUAACAGGCUAAUUUUGUGUUUUCCUUCGCAUGCCAGGUGAAGCCCCAGAUGUCGGUUUGUCCUCUUCUGACUUGUUCACAUUGAUUACUCAAUUAAUGGUCCUGCCAGUUUUCGCCAAUGUAAAAUGGAAUCUCGCUCUGUCUCCCAGGCUGGAGUGCAGUGGUGCAGUCUUGGCCUCACUACAUCCUCCACCUCCCAGGUUCAAGUGAUUCUCCUACCUCAGCUUCCGAAGUAACUGGGAUUAUAGACACCUGCCACCAUGCCCGGCUAAUUUUUGUAUUUUUAGUAGAGAUAGGGUUUCACCAUGUUGGCCAGGCUGAUCUCGGCCUCCCAAAUUGCUGGGAUUACAGGCGCAGCUGCACCUCCUUGGAUCCUCCAUAGCCGCCAGAAGACGCUCCGGGAAGUCAGAGAGUGUGAGAACUCAAGAGGUGGCAGUUGAGUAAGAACUGGGCUGUGUGCAUCGUGGUGAAAGUCACAGCAAGAACAGGGAAGAUCGAGGGGAUGAUCAAUCGGAGGAGGACUGGAAGGCACCUGUGGAUGAGGCCAGGAGGCACCCAGCCCAACAAACUCUGGCCAGAAACCUAAGUAGAAGACCCUCAGGAAGACAGACGAGGCAAGCAGUGAAUGAAGAACACAGGCAGCCUGCCCUGAGGACUUGAGGGAGUCCUGCAGUUCCUUGCACGGCCCCUCUUCCGCUUUCUGAAAUGGCUGUGGUCACCUGUCGCACGGAUGAUGUUCCGGUCAACAACAGACUGCAUGUAUCAUGAUGAUUCCGUAAGAUCCUGAUGGAGCUGAAAAGUGUACCACACUACUGUGUCUGAGGUGACGCUGGUGUCAACAGGCCUGCGGCACUGCCAGUCACUGUAAAGAUUUUAGGGCUGGGCGCAGUGGCUCAGACCUGUAAUCCCAGCACUUUUAGAGGCCAAGGAGGGCGGAUCAUUUGAGGUUGGGAGUUCAACAUCAGCCUGGCCAACAUGGUGAGGAAGAGUGAUACAGUCCAUUGAUAUGACGCCCAAGCGAUUUUUUUGUGUUUUCAGUAGAGACAUCAGCCUGUCGAUCAGCCCAUCUAUCAAUCAGCCUGUCUACCAGCCCGUCUCUACUGAAAAUACAAAAAUUGCUUGGGCGUGGUGGUGUGUUCGUGUACUCCCAGCUCCUUGGGAGGCUGAGGCAGAAGAACCACUUGAACUCAGGUUUCAGUGAGCUAAGACUGUGUCAGUGCACUCCAGCCUGGGUGACAGAGCCAGACUCCACCUCAAAAAAUUAAAGGCAGAAAAAAACUCAAGAGUAGGGAUAUUGUAUCUAAGUGUUGUUAUGAAAGUCAAGAAGUUUAAAAACUUUAUAAAGUACAAAACUUAUACACAAAGGGGAUUAUUAAAGGAAAAUCUCUUUUAAAGUCAGGAUUGCCUAGGGGUCCCAUAUCUGUAAAGUCCACAGGAGUGCACAUGGCCUCCUGGGCCUUCACCUUCCCUUACCGCUCAGCCAGAACCACUUCCAGUCCUGCAGCUUCAGCCACAGGCAGGGCCCCACACAGGUGGGCCACUUUCCACUUCUUACCACGUUUCAAGAUCCACAAAUACCCCUGGGUUACAGGAAUGUGCUGUACAGGUUUGUGUAGGCGCACUGUGUGACAUUCACACACUACGACAAUCACCUAAUGACCCAUCUCCCAGAAUGUAUCCCGUCAUUAGAUGACGUGUGACUGUAUUUGGCACAGCUGGUCUGGUGCAUCCCAAUGGACAAAACCAAAUUGGAAUCACUCAAGCCCAAUGCCACCUAAUUAAACUACAACUUUAAGCAGGAAGGCCCCCACGCAGGCAAUGCAGUGUACCUGAGACAGCAGAAGGAGGAGGUCCCCUCUGUUUAACUCUUAACAAAAAAAAAAAGUCACCUGAGGUAACCUGCUGUCUAACCGAUCCAUUAUUUUUCCCUCGUCUUCCCUUCCUUGCCCCCACCUCUCAAAACCUACUGUUCUGCCACUGCUCAGUGGGAACUCUCAUCCUAUUUUGUACAAUGGAGGCUGCCUCAAUUCGUGAAUCACAAAAGCCAGUGGAAUCUGUAUCUAGAUUUACUGUAAUUCUGUCUUCUGCCACUAUUCACUCAGAAGGCAUCAGCGUACAGCCUCCCACUCCUGCUCCUGGAGAAUGCCCACCCCUUUAUUGGGCCAUUCCCCAGUGGCUUCCUCCAGGACUCGGCUCUGCAACUCCAUAGCUCCCCUCUCCCAUGGCCUCACCUCUGACGGUGCCCUCUCUCUCUGCCUCCCAGCCCCUCUGGCCAGCACUGAGUCUUCAUCCUCUAUCUCAGGAGAACUUCUUAACAGACUGGUAGGCAACAACUGACUUCCUCGCCUCACCCAACCCCGUGACUCCACUUUUAAACUCUCAGGAAAGUCACCAAUGACCACUGUGUUGUCAAAGCCCUGGGUGGCGCUGGGUGCAGUGGCUCACACCUGUAAUGCCAGCACGUUGGGAGGCCGAGGCAGGCGAAUCACUUGAGCUCAGGAGACCAGCCUGGCCAACACGGUGAAACCCUGUCUCUACUAAAAAUCCAAAAAUUAACUGGGUGUGGUGGUAGUGCCUGUAAACUCAGCUAUUCAGGAGGCUGAGGAAGAAGAAUCACUUAAAUCUGGGAGGCGGAGGUUGCACUGGGCCGAGAUGACGCCACUGAACUCCAGCCUGGGUGACAAGAACAAAACUCCAUCUCAAAGAAAAAAAAGCCAACAGUGGCUUGUUCUAGUUGUAUUUUCUCGACCAGUCAGCAUCUCCACCCUCUUGUGACAUUCCUCCCAUCUCUCUGAGGACUGCUUUGCCACUAAAUCAUGGAGGGUCCCGGGUCUUUGCUGCCUGCACUGCUGCUGUGUUCUCGCCCAGUCAGAUGGCUUUCUGUAGAUCCAAAAUGGCAAAGCUUCCCAAUUUCACAUGUUGGCCCAGAGUUCCAGAGUCCAUGUAUCCAGUGCCAAUUUUGGUGUUUCCAUGAAUGUCUAGUAAGUAUCCCUACCUUGAACAUGGCCAAAACAUAAAUUCUGGCCAGGUGCAGUGACUCAUGCCUCUAAUCCCAGCAUUUGGGGAGGCUGAGGCAGAUGAUGGCUUGAGCCCAAAGGAGUUUGAGGCCAGCCUGGGUUGCAGAGUGAGACUCCAUUGCUACAAAAAAAUACAAAAAUUAGAUGUCGUGGCAUGUGCCUGUAGUCCAGCUACUCAGGAAGCCAAGGUGGGAGGGCUGCUUGAGCCUGGGAGGCAGAGGCUGUAGUGAGCCAAGAUCACACCACUACACUCCAGGCUGGACAACAGAUCGAGACCCUAUGUCAGAAAAAGAAAAAAAACGAAAUUCUGUUUUUUCCCCAUCAAACUUGUGUUCCUCCUCUGGGCUUCCAUACUCAAGAAAUGGGACAGCUGCCGCCUCCACUGUUCAGACCAGCAGUCUGGGGAGCACCUUGCCUUCUCCUUUUCUUCCCAUCACAUACCAAAUCCAUCAAUGCCCAGUGGCCUCUGGCUUCUGCCUCCAGACACAUGUUCACUGCUACCUCCACUACAUCUCCGCUGCGACUCCUAAACCCACACAUCUCCCUUCUCACCUAGACCGGCAGAGCUCACUCCCAAGCAGUCUCCUGGCUUUCUCUACAUUCAUCCAAAGGUCUGUCAUUCCCUCCUCAGACAAAACCCUCCCAUGGCUUCCCUCUGCGUUCAGAAUGAAAUGCAAAUGCUUUUGCCAGGGCUGCAAUUCCAUGGUCACUUCCUCCAGAUACAAGGACUGCUGGCAAUGCCCUAACUCCUCCUUGGAUGAUCAGCCUUCAUCCAAAAGUCCCCUCUAGUCACACACCACUGCAUUAGUCCCUUGGAGUUUCUUCACAGGAUCUGUCACCAUCUAGUGUCGUCUUGCCCCCCAUAUCCCCAGUGCCUAGAAUUAUGUCCGGUGCACUCAACCCGGUGAGAGAAAUCACAAGUGGACUGCUCCCCACUAGCCUCACAGCACCUUGCAUUUGCCAGCUUAGACAGGGAGAUGGGGUAUAACACCAGGACACCAAACUCGCAAUCAGAAAGCCCUGGGGUAGAUUUCAGACUUGGCAACAUCCGGGAUGUGUCGUGAUGACAAAGCUAUUUAACCUCUCCAAGGAUGACUUUCAGUUACUAGGAGUGAUAAUCCAUACUCACCUCUCUCAAUGGAAGUGGGGAUUAUGUUACUUUUACAAGUCCAUUAAUAACAAAAGUGUCCUCUAAGCCUCAGAUAAUGCUAUGGUGACACGGCAUGAGUCCAGAGGACAAAUGAGCAAAAAUAAAAUACAUUUGAAAAUUGAUACCACACAGGUGGCGUUACAAGUCGGUGUGAUGUAAACACACCUGAUACCACAUGCAAAAAUAUAUAAGGGUCAAGACGGAGAGCUGUGACUCCCUGCAAUGAAAGACGGCCUGGGAGAUGGCAGCUAGGGAAAUGCCCCGAGUGUGGGAAGGGGAUCCCAAAGAGCAACCAGAGGGGCCGGCAGCCCAGCAGACACACAAGGAAAGGCAGCGCCUGCCUCAUGGGAGAAAGGCUGACCAAUGUGUUUUUCAGUAAUUCCAGCAACAUCGGUGACCCUUCCACAUGCCAAGUAGUACCAGGGCUACAAGAGGAACAAAGCGGACAGCGUCCCUGCUCUCUGGGAGGUCAUACCCUGGGUCUGGACACCCUCAUCUCUUACUCAUCUGCUGCCUACAGUCCAGGCUCCAUGCCUCACCUGAGCGACCCAGCUGAUACCAGGCCAGAUCUCAUCACUCCUGCACCAAGCCUUUCUAGGAGAAUAAGCCUUCCUAUACUCUGAGAUCCUCCCUGAUCUGCCCUUUCACCUUUCCUCUUCCUUCCCUCCUCCCCACCACUCCAGCCACCCUCAAGGUUCCUGGGUGGCACCAGGCAGGAACACUCCUGUACCCCGUUGCAAGAAAGAAAGGCACUACAGCUGGAUGACCCCCUCGUCGCCUCUCACUUUCUCCAGAGGCCCUCCUUGCUGCGCUCCCCGCCCCAUCCACCUCCCCUGCACCGACUGUUCUGCAUGACAUGCUGAGGUAUCUGUCUUCUUCCCCAGCACCCUGCCACCUACGGAGACAGAGUGGAACAGAGCAGGUGCUCAAUACAAAUGUCGGGAAUAAAUAAGUGUAUUCUAAGGGGGGAGAGCGCACAUUUCAAUACACUUACCUUUAUGGGUAACAGGAAAAUGCAAACUGAAAAACACUCAAAGGCGGCUCUUACCAGGCACUGGGAGGUUCUAAGGAAUGGCGCUCACGCGAAAUAAACCGGUAUAACCUCAGAAAACCGACGCGUGUGUGUGUGCGUGUGUGUGUGUCCGUCCUCCUCUAACUUGGGAGCUCCAUGUCUCGGUGUCUCCUAUACAAAAUUGUUGAACAAGUUCACAAAGACGCGUGUGAGGAUGUUGAGGACAGCGUCCUUCUGAGGAGGAAGCAUGGAAAUAGCCCCAUGCCCAUGCGUGGGACCCAUGGACCUGGGAUAGCAGGGGAGCAGAAGCAGCACGACACACACCCACUGCAGGGACACAGAGACAUCCGCAGGACCUGAGUAAGUGAAAAGCUUCAGAACAAGACAGAUCUGGUCCCAUUUCAGUUAAAACUGAAACCACACAUGAAGCAAGUACCCAUGUGUAUACAGACACGCCAACGGGCAGAGACGAGGACGCAGCCAAGGACGACGUUCAUGUUCCACUCUGUACACGCUCAUCGUUAAAACAGCUUUAGCCACAACUUUUCCACACACUGCUCAUUUGAUUAAGAACAAAGCAUCCUGGCUGGGCACGGUGGCUCAGACCUGUAAUACCAGCGCUUUGGGAGGCCAAGGUAGGAGGACCACUUGAGGUCAGAAGUUUGAGACCAGCCUGGGCAACGUGGCAAAACCCCGUCUCUACCAAAACUACAAAAAUUAGCUGGGCGUGGCAGUGCACACCUGUAAUCCCAGCUAUUUGGAAGGCUGAGGCAGGAGAAUCCCUUGAAUCCUGGGAGGCAAAGGUUUCAGUGAGCCAAGCUCAUGCCACUGCACUCCAGCCUGGGUGAAAGGGUGAGACUCCAUCUCAAAAACAAAAAAGAACAAAGCAUCCUGCAAAAGAGCCCACAACUGCUGCUUAGAGAUCCCCCUAGAACACUCUGCUGGGCCCCUCUUCCUGCGCUGUGAUGGCAGGUGUGCACCAGCACUGCCUGCUCUAAGCAGUUGGGGCUAGUCUGAGCUGGUCUACACCAGGCUCAGCAGGUUGGAAUGAGUCAGACCCGGUUUUCAGCAACAGAACUACUUAAAAGUUCAACCAGUGAGCACAUCUCGCAAGCUCUGAGCAGACGGGCUUGCCUUCUCUACGUCUCCUCCAGCAAUUUCCCAGGGUUGGCUGGCUACUCAUUUCUCACCUUCCUCCAUAGGCCUUCACGGGUGGCCCGAGUGGUCUCGUACAAUCUCCCCCACGAAUUUCCAACUCCCCAUCUGCUAGCACGGCCUCUGGAAAUAACUGCAGCUGUGCACUGACCCCAGAGCUGUGAGCCAGAUGCCCAAUACCUCCCCAGCCUGCAAACCCCAGGCCAAGCCUGACCUACACGGAAGUCAGUGUUGCGGGAGUUACCAUCUCUACUUAGUGUCCACAGCCUCUUAAAGCUGGUCAUAUCCCACUCUCCUGAUUUCAGCCCCUCACAUGCUGCCUGCUGUCCUCGCCUGUCCUGUCCCUGUGUCCACACCUGCCCAUGCCCUGCCAUCUGCCACUUGCUAUACCCCUCCUGUGGCACGUCAGGGCCUCACACUGCUGGCUGCUCCCUCCUCAGGAUGACUCAAAUCUCAGAGCUGAGAGGAAUUCACAUCUUAGCUCAGAAGUGACUUCACUGGAGAUACCAUGUCUCUUACCAGUCUCCCAGUCUACACCUCCCUCACCCCCAACCCUUGUAAAUGCCCUUCAUGGCCUGUGUCUCCCACUGCAGUCAUUCCAUUUGUUUGGUGAGAGCCAACUUGAAAGCAAUUUGGUUUUUGCUCUUUCAGUCACCCCCAUGAGAAUGUAAACUCCAUGAGGGCAGCAAGUUGGCUGGCCUGUGUGCUGGUGCCGGAGACAUCAUUGACGAAUGAAGGCCUAUUUUUGAGCAAGAUUCCUGAGGACUGAUGGUUGGUGAUAUGAUGGACCGAGGUAUUUCACUCCAGCACUUGAGCCAGAAAAUCAACCAUGUCCUCACCCCUGCUCUGAGCCAGGCACCGUCCUCGCUGUCUUACAGGUAUUGGCCCAUCAAACCCUCACAAAAGCCAGGAGGGAAGUUCCGUUAUCAUCUCCUCUUCCAGAUGAGGAAACUGAUACACAGAAGCUAAUUGGUCCAGGCUUAGAAGCCCCUAGGAGGCAGAGCUGGGGUGUGGUGAUGGAUGUCGGACUCCAGGGCCCUCCCCUGCCUCAUCCGCCGCUGUCUCCCUUUCUGCAGAAUCUGUAGAUUAAGGUGUACUGGAAUGAAGCCUCAGACACUUCCGGAUCAUCCAUGGUUGCACUCUCACUGUGAUAGCACAGCUGAGACAGUGGCCCAAAAACCCUUCCCAUCUGAGCCCAGACUCACCACCAUUUCUACAGACAUGGACCAGCAGGAGCUGCUAUCACUGUGCUGGGCACAGCCUGGCUGAGUGGUCUCACUGGAUCCUCAUGGCAGCUCAGUAUGGUUGGGUAUAGCGAUCUCCACCUUACAGCAGACAGAGGCUCAGAAUCAUCAUCUACCUGGUCUGUAUCCCCAGCCACUAAGUGGCAGAACCAAGAUGGGGAAGCCAAAGUUUGACUCUGACAACCAUGUGCUAUGGAAGCAGGCCCUGGUUAUGCAAUGAAGCAUCCAGGAAAUGAUUAUUUCUUGUCAGCUGCUCCCUUCCAGAAGUUCCCAGUGGAAGGAGGGUGGCACUUGCAUCCUAUCGCAUGGAAAUGGAAACGAAAGCUCAGAGAAAACAUUUGGGCCUGAGUCUCACAAGAGGAGGCCGGGCUGAUGCCUCAGACUCAGAUCUGACUCUGGCACCAGAAUUUGCUCCAUCCAGCCUUUUGAAAGCAGGGCUUCUCAACUUUGGAUGCACCUUAGAGUCACCUGAGGAACUUAAAAAAAAAAAACGGAUGCUCAGGCCCAAGCUCCAGAGAUUACUGUUGCAUUAACUAGGCAGGUUAACGCACCUGGCAUGCUUUUAAAAAUACAAAACCUGUCCUUUGUAUUUUUAAAAGCAUGCCGGGUGAUCCCAUGUGCAAGCUGUGGGUGAGACCCGACUUGAAAGCAGUCUUAUGGCUGGGGAAAUUCUGCAAAUGUAAAGACUAGCCCCCAAAAGAAUGAUUUCCCCCUAUGUCUGAGGUGACAGGUGGCUUUUUGGUGGGUUGAGAAGCUGGUUACAUUCAAUGGUGUCUGAACCUCCUGGAGAAGUAAUUUCUCGACUGUCCUCACAAGAUGGCAGAUCUGAGCAUACUCUGUCGCUGAAGGCUCCCUGUGGGGAAGUCUGCGCGAUGGUACUGAGGAUGUCCUAAGACUUUCCUGGCAGCUAUGGACCACUGUUUCAUCAUUUCAGACCAGCUAUCAUUCAAGGAAGGAGGAUCACCUGAUGAUGAAAACGGCAGGCUUCCCUCGCCUGGAUGGCACCUCUUUUAGGAGCCUGUCACUCGGCUGAAGAAGAAAUAUUUAGAUGAAGGACACCUUUCCACUGUGCCCUAAGCUGUUCUACCUUUAUGAUUCAACUAAAAAUGUAUUUCCGCUUUUGAAAAAACCCAGCAAUUCUGAGCUUCCCUCACAGGUUUCCUCCCAGAAAGAGUCUAUCAUGAAAACACCACUCAAAACUCUUCCAUGACAGGGUGAAGAAAAUAAAGCAAAACAUAUUCUUUUCUCCGUCCUAUCUCAGCUCUUCAGCCUCAGUAUGCUUUUUAAACCAUUUUAGUUUGUCACCUUUUUUGAAUAGGUAACACAGAAAGGAGUGCUGAGUAAAAGCAUGAGGAGGUGAAUGCAUGGAAAUGUGAGUCUCCCCAUCUCAGUCCGCCUGGAAGCCAUGGUUGUUUUUUAAUGUAUCUUUCUAGAGGUAUCCAUUACAUAUAGAAGCAUGUAAUGCACAGGUGUGAGUAUCCUCAUAUUUGCUAUUUCUUUUUUUGGGGAGACCGAGUCUCGUGCUGUUGCCCAGGGUGGAGUGCAUUGGCACAAUCUUGGCCCACUGCAACCUCCACCUCCCGAGUUCAAGCGAUUCUCAUGCCUCAGCCUCCUGAGUAGCUGGGACACCAGGCGUGCAGCACCACGCAUGGCUCAUAUUUGUAUUUUAGUAGAGAUGGGGAUCACCACAUUGGCCAGGCUGGUCUCAAACUCCUGACCUCAGGUGAUUCGCCUCUUCAUGCCUAAACCACUGUGCCUGGCCCAUAUUUACUAUUUCUACAACUAGAAAGGUAUUAUGCGUGUUCCUAUUCCGUGCUUUUUCCUCUUAGUGAUUAUAUCACGGAGAUUUUUUCCGUAUCACUACACGUGGUAUAGAAGGUAUUCCCUUCCACGUGGGUGUCUAUCAGUCUCAGUAUUCUAGCCCAUAGGUUGGCAAACUUCCUGUAACAGGUGAGACUGUAAACAUUUAAGGCUCCAGGGAGCCAUUCGGUCUCUGUUACAACUCUUCAACUGUGCCCUUAUAGCAAGAAAGAUGCUAUAGAUGAAGUGUGAAUGAAUGGGUGUGUUCCAAUAAAACUUUAUUUACAAAAACAGGCGGAGGGUAGGAUUUGGCCUGUGGGCUGUAAUUGGCUGACCUCUGUUCUAGUCUGAACAAUCUCUGGUUGUUUAACCACAGUCAUAUGCCCACACAGGGCCAAAGAGGCAAGGCAUGCCAGCACAGGGCACAGAAACCAUGAUGGGCCUUGGCUGCAAAUGGAAAUCACCUCAUAAUUACCAACAGAUCUCAAAGUAAAUGCUGGAGCAGACUUUGUAUGGGGACUGUCCUGGGCCUCCUGAGCGGCAUCUGGAAUAGCAAGAUGCCAGGCCUUGGGACUGCCUCAAGCUAGCUUCAGCAGCUGUGCUUUCCUACCAGAGACCAUGUGGGGGUGAGGGCUCCGGAGCAGAAGGCGGCAUGGGCCUUACGGCUGGGGUCCUGGGGUCCUAGAGUCCCUUACUGGUUUUGUGAGAGGAUGAAAAAGACAUGAGCAUCUCUCUGUGUGUGUGUGUGUGUGUUAGGAUCACCCUGUCACCCAGGCUGGAGUGCAGUGGCACAAUCUUGGCUCACUGCAAUCUCCACCUCCCAGGUUCAGGAGACUGUCCUGCCUCAGCCUGACAAGUAGCUGGGACUACAGAUGCACACCACCACCCCCAGCUAAUUUUUUAAUUUUUGGUAGAGACGGGGUUGUGCCAUGUUAGGCUGGUCUCCAACUCCUGACCCCAAGUGAUCUGCCACACCUCAGCCUCCCAAAGUGCUGGGAUUACAGGUAUGAGCCACUGUGCCCAGCGGACACAAGCAACUUGAGGGGACCUGGCUCAUGUAUACACUCCAUAAAUAGCAAACAUUAUCAUGAUGAUAAUUGCUAUAUCAAAGGUCAAAACUCUACCCCAGGAUUUUCCAUCUGCUGUGUCCCUAAGAAAUAACACUGUGUAACAUAAAACUGAACACAACGAUGCCUACCCAGCUGCAAGAGCGGCCUUGCCUUCAAAGAUACUCCAUAAGCUUUUUAUGCUGACCCAAAAGGACCUAAAACACGGGAGAGCAGGGGCCUCGCCAGUCCUCUUGCUGGAGAGUGCCUGGCCAUAGCAGGUGCCAGAGAAUACCUGCUGCCCAAGUGAAUGCCAGUAUUGGCAGGAUCCACGCCAAGGUCCCUGGAUGCAGAGCUGAGGAACUGAGAGCUGGACAGAGCUGGGCCCGCCCCGGGGAAAACACAGCCCCGAUCUGACCCAGAGCCCUGUGGGCGGGGGAGAUGGGGGAUGAACUCAGCCCAGAAAGCACCUUGGAGCACGGGACCUGCCCCUUCUACACCAAAACGAUGCCCUGAGGUGCCCUGGGUUUUAAACUAGUUCCUGCUGAGUUGAGACCAAUUGAGGCCCCUGAGUAGCCUCUUCCUCUGUGGGGCUUGGGCGGAGUACCCCAGCCUGGAAAGUAUGUGGGGUCUUAUGGAGAAUUCACCCUCAUGGAAAGGCCACAGACAGAGGCAAUUCUCAGAAGGCUUCACCCUCAAGGCAUCUGUCCAUAUAAGACACAGCCAUGACCACUCAUCCUGAAAGCCCAGUGCUGUCCAAGAGACCCACAUGACAUGCUACAGGGGUGAGGCAUGGUCUGGGGGCCUGGGGGUGGUUUACAAACAAGGAGACCUUGAAAGGUGUGGGACUCCCUUCCAUGUGGGUGCAGAACCUGCACUGUCAUUCCCCAGGGAAGCACCAAGCAAUGAGAGCAGGGCUCCAUGAACUACAACCUCCAUCCUUCCCAGUCUGGUCCACACCUGCUGAGCCAGGAGGAGGGACAGAUGACCCAACACUGUGGCAACAUCCAGUGUGGCCUGUGUGAGUCCCUGUGGGAAUGAGUUUGUGUGUGGCCAGGAUUAAGAAUGAAAAAAAGGGAUUAAAAAAUUCCUCCUGGACCCAAGAAAUGGACCUCAGUGUCCCUUAGUGACAUCUUCUUACAUCACACCUGCCCAUGCCAGGGGUGGUACCUGCCUUCUCUAUAAGCAUGAGCAGUGCAAAAGUCCGGGAUGCCACCUUCACUCUAGACUACUGUGCCAUGCUGCAUCCCCUCAGCUCCCAAUAGAGCAGGCCGGAGGGUAAGGUGUCCCCAAACCCCUGGCAUGGGCCCCUGUAGAGCUCUGGAAAUGCUACUGAAGGAAGCAGCUCAUUUUGCUCAACUCCAGUUUGGAAUUUGGGGCUCAGUAAGCCUGUCCCUGUGGCACGCCCUUGUGCCCAUCUUGCUUGGUGGCAGGCAAGUGUGAACAGCUGUAGGUUCACAGCAGGAGGCUUAGAGAGGCAGUGAUGAGUGACAUGCUGUGCAGAUCCCAGACAUGAACUUGGGGGCCAGGUUUCAUUAUAGGAGAUGGUGCUCGGGGGUAGGAAUCCUACCUCUGUCCCAUGGGACAGCUUGGUGGUGCUGAGGCCGACUCUGUGGCAGGACAUUUAACCCUCACCAUCCCCUUGUGAGGUAGGGGGAGGCUGUUAACCUCAUCUCCAGACUCUGUUCUUCCAGUUCCUCACUCCUCUUUCACAUCCGCAAUCAAACCAGCAGCAGGUUUCGGUCGCUCUGCUUUCAGAAUACCCCUGGCAGGCUGCCCCAGGCACAUCCCCUAUCCCCGGGGUGACCAUACGAUCCCCUAAGUGCCUGUUCCAUCAGCCACAACAGAGUUCCGCUCUCUGCUGGCUCCACAUGGCAGCCAGAAUCCCCCUGGCUGCAGCUUCUAUGCGAGAGCUGCCCUGGCUUCCGUGCUGUUUCUCCAGGAUACCAAAUCCACGCAGCCUCAGGACCUUAGCACCUGCUGCGUCCUCUGCCUGGCUCACUGCCUCAGGUCCCCAAUUCAUGUCAAACCAUCGUAGUGGUCUUCCCGGAGCACAAACAGCACAUCCCCAGCCGGCCUCUUUUCCUCCGCAAUGACUGUGAUGUCCUUUCCUACUGUCCUCUCCCCGGUAAUCACCACCCAACAUACUCACGUCUCCUUGGUUCUUCAACGUCUGUGUCCCCCAUCAGAACAUCUGAGAGGGCAGACACUUUGUUUUAUCUGCUGUUCAACUAUCAGCAUGGUAAGUACUUAUUGGAGGAACAGAUGGAUGGAGGGCGGGGAACUGACCUUGUCAUGUCCGCUCUCAUCCUCCUAGGACUUUCAUCUCCACUCCCAGCCCAGCCCUGGAGAAAACCAAACCAGCCUGAUCUCACCUGUGACUGUUUCAUGUUAAUCCCUUUACUUUCAUGUAUUUUGAAAGCAAUCCUAAUCAUUUAUAUUUAAAACUUCCUUUAAUAAAUGUUCUUGCAUGGAA
Molecule: non-coding RNA, 39277 nt
Organism: Callithrix jacchus (white-tufted-ear marmoset)
Lineage: Eukaryota; Metazoa; Chordata; Mammalia; Primates; Cebidae
Source: RefSeq, a predicted model, not a curated record